CAGUAACACGUGGCUGACCUGCCCUCGGGACGGGAAUACCCCCGGGAAACUGGGGCUAAUCCCCGAUAGGUGAAGAACUCUGGAAUGAGUCUCCGCCCAAAAGACGCUUAAAUCAUGCUUUUAGGCGCCGCCCAAGGAUGGGGCCGCGACCGAUCAGGUAGUUGGUGAGGCAACGGCUCACCAAGCCUUUAACCGGUGCGGGCCGUGAGAGCGGGAGCCCGGAGAUGGGCACUGAGACAAGGGCCCAGGCCCUACGGGGCGCAGCAGUCGCGAAAACUUUGCAAUACACGAAAGUGUGACAGGGCUAUCCCGAGUGCCAUCCGCUGAGGAAGGCUUUUACCCAGUCUAGAAAGCUGGGAGAAUAAGGAGAGGGCAAGCCUGGUGUCAGCCGCCGCGGUAA
This 400-nucleotide ribosomal RNA is filed under the name uncultured archaeon. RNAcentral describes it as "bacterial SSU rRNA". It matches the Rfam family "Archaeal small subunit ribosomal RNA", at positions 91 to 473 of the family's 1478-position model. The record is from RNAcentral.